UCCCAGACUCCUACGGGAGGCAGCAGUUAGGAAUAUUCGUCAAUGGGGGAAACCCUGAACGAGCAAUGCCGCGUGAGUGAUGACGGUCUUUAUGAUUGUAAAACUCUGUUGUAAAGGAAGAAACCUUAUCAUAGGCAAUGAUGAUAAGCUGACGGUACUUUACCAGAAAGCCCCGGCUAACUACGUGCCAGCAGCCGCGGUAAUACGUAGGGGGCGAGCGUUAUCCGGAUUUAUUGGGCGUAAAGCGUGUGUAGGCGGUUUAUUAAGUCUAAGAUUAAAGCCUGGAGCUUAACUUCAGUUCGUCUUAGAAACUGGUAGACUUGAGUGUGGUAGAGGCAAGUGGAAUUUCUAGUGUAGCGGUUAAAUGCGUAGAUAUUAGAAGGAACACCAGUGGCGAAGGCGACUUGCUGGGCCAUUACUGACGCUGAGACACGAAAGCGUGGGGAGCAAAUAGGAUUAGAUACCCGCGUAC
Molecule: ribosomal RNA, 472 nt
Filed under: uncultured bacterium
Lineage: Bacteria
Description: bacterial SSU rRNA
Rfam family: Bacterial small subunit ribosomal RNA
Source: RNAcentral